CCUACGGUAGGCAGCAGUGGGGGAUAUUGCACAAUGGGGGAAACCCUGAUGCAGCGACGCCGCGUGUGGGAAGACGGUCCUCUGGAUUGUAAACCACUGUCCUCAGGGACGAAGAUGCCGGUACCUGGGGAGUAAGCUCCGGCUAACUACGUGCCAGCAGCCGCGGUAAUACGUAGGGAGCGAGCGUUGUCCGGAAUUACUGGGUGUAAAGGGAGCGUAGGCGGGACUGCAAGUUGGGUGUCAAAUCUACCGGCUCAACCGGUAGCCGCACUCAAAACUGCAGUUCUUGAGUGAAGUAGAGGCAGGCGGAAUGCCUAGUGUAGCGGUGAAAUGCGUAGAUAUUAGGAGGAACACCAGUGGCGAAGGCGGCCUGCUGGGCUUUUACUGACGCUGAGGCUCGAAAGUGUGGGGAGCAAACAGGAUUAGAUACCCUUGUAGUC
This 440-nucleotide ribosomal RNA is filed under the name uncultured bacterium. Its description in RNAcentral is "partial 16S ribosomal RNA". It matches the Rfam family "Bacterial small subunit ribosomal RNA", at positions 338 to 795 of the family's 1533-position model. The record is from RNAcentral.